RNAcentral lists this ribosomal RNA (393 nucleotides) under uncultured bacterium. RNAcentral describes it as "partial 16S ribosomal RNA". It matches the Rfam family "Bacterial small subunit ribosomal RNA", at positions 523 to 918 of the family's 1533-position model. The record is from RNAcentral.
CUACGGAGGAUCCGAGCGUUAUCCGGAUUUAUUGGGUUUAAAGGGUGCGUAGGCGGGCUGUUAAGCGUGAGGUGAAAGCUCGGGGCUCAACCCCGGAACUGCCUCGCGAACUGGCGGUCUUGAAUAUCCGUGCCGUGGGAGGAAUGUGUGGUGUAGCGGUGAAAUGCAUAGAGAUCACACAGAACACCGAUUGCGAAGGCAGCUGACGAGUCCUUAACUGACGCUAAUGCUCGAAAGUGCGGGUAUCGAACAGGAUUAGAUACCCUGGUAGUCCGCACGGUAAACGAUGGAUGCCCGCUGUUGGCGAUACACAGUCAGCGGCCAAGCGAAAGCGUUAAGCAUCCCACCUGGGGAGUACGCCGGCAACGGUGAAACUCAAAUGAAUUGACGGGG